RNAcentral lists this long non-coding RNA (448 nucleotides) under Ovis aries (sheep). RNAcentral describes it as "lncRNA (ENSOARG00000025987.1)". Lineage: Eukaryota; Metazoa; Chordata; Mammalia; Artiodactyla; Bovidae. The record is from RNAcentral.
AUUUUUAAAGACUUAACUUUUUUUUUUCCUUAGGAUACUGAAUUAGAGCAUAAGAAAGAAAUACAAAACCAAAUCUGUUCUCAGUUUGUAGUUGUCAUGAAGAGAUUUGUAUUUUGGGGAGCCAUGCAAACAAAGAGCAGUUUCCAACCUUGAGUUGUACCCAGUUGAAUGUCUGAAUAUUUGAUGUAGACAUGACGGCCACGACUGGUUAGAAGAAGGAGAGGUUUUGAAAGAUUGCUUGCUUCAAGAGACAUGAUGAAGUUCAAACAACCAUCACCAAACUGAUUGUGGAAAUAAUAAUAUCAUCACCAUCAUCUGCUCAUGAAACACAAAUGGCUCUGUCAUUCUGUCUGACGAGUACUUACUAACCAGAAUUAGACAUAAAUCCCUAGAGGUAAAAUGACGGGGCCUUACAAGGCUCAGAGAUCAGAGUGUAGUUGUAAAUCUG